This is a non-coding RNA of Macaca mulatta (Rhesus monkey), 490 nucleotides long. The record is from RefSeq and is a predicted model, not a curated record. NCBI's taxonomy places the organism in Eukaryota, Metazoa, Chordata, Mammalia, Primates, Cercopithecidae.
CCACUGAGGCAUGGGGUGCCUCUUUAUGACCUGGUUGUUAUGAAAGUUCCAGCUCCCACUAGGCCUUUUCUGAUACUGCUCUGGUUGGGUUGGGGGAACAGGCAGGGUUUUGGCAUCUUGUAUGGUACGGUUGAAGUUUAAACUUCCUACUCAGUCUUGGCUGGGGUUAUCAUCAGAGACCUAGUGAUGAGCCUGAAGCCCCGCUCCUACCUAAGCACUAAGAAGACACCCGUUCUUCGGCUGUGUGUCAGUGAAGACUAAGUAGAGAACUUGAGCUUUUAUUCCACCUUGCCUACAAGAGGUGACCCCACUUCUCCUGCCAGAGCAGUGUCAGAGGAUGCCUGGUAAAACCCGGCAUUUAAAUAAGAUCCAGUAUCUUAUAAUAUCUGCAAUGCCCAAAUAGAAAUGGAAAAUCACUCAUCAUACCAAGAACCAAGGUGAUCCCAACUUGAAUGAGAACGGACAAUAAAAGACACCAACCCCAAGAUUA